CCUACGGGGGGCAGCAGUGGGGAAUUUUCCGCAAUGGGCGAAAGCCUGACGGAGCAACGCCGCGUGAGGGAGGAAGGUCUUUGGAUUGUAAACCUCUUUUCUCAAGGAAGAAGUUCUGACGGUACUUGGGGAAUCAGCCUCGGCUAACUCCGUGCCAGCAGCCGCGGUAAUACGGGGGAGGCAAGCGUUAUCCGGAAUUAUUGGGCGUAAAGCGUCCGCAGGUGGUCAGCCAAGUCUGCUGUCAAAUCAGGUUGCUUAACGACCUAAAGGCGGUGGAAACUGGCAGACUAGAGAGCAGUAGGGGUAGCAGGAAUUCCCAGUGUAGCGGUGAAAUGCGUAGAGAUUGGGAAGAACAUCGGUGGCGAAAGCGUGCUACUGGGCUGUAUCUGACACUCAGGGACGAAAGCUAGGGGAGCGAAAGGGAUUA
This 427-nucleotide ribosomal RNA is filed under the name uncultured bacterium. Its description in RNAcentral is "bacterial SSU rRNA". It matches the Rfam family "Bacterial small subunit ribosomal RNA", at positions 338 to 780 of the family's 1533-position model. The record is from RNAcentral.